AUGAACGCUGGCGGCGUGCCUAAUACAUGCAAGUCGAGCGAACAGACGAGGAGCUUGCUCCCCUGACGUUAGCGGCGGACGGGUGAGUAACACGUGGAUAACCUACCUAUAAGACUGGGAUAACUUCGGGAAACCGGAGCUAAUACCGGAUAAUAUAUUGAACCGCAUGGUUCAAUAGUGAAAGACGGUUUUGCUGUCACUUAUAGAUGGAUCCGCGCCGCAUUAGCUAGUUGGUAAGGUAACGGCUUACCAAGGCAACGAUGCGUAGCCGACCUGAGAGGGUGAUCGGCCACACUGGAACUGAGACACGGUCCAGACUCCUACGGGAGGCAGCAGUAGGGAAUCUUCCGCAAUGGGCGAAAGCUUGACGGAGCAACGCCGCGUGAGUGAUGAAGGUCUUCGGAUCGUAAAACUCUGUUAUUAGGGAAGAACAAAUGUGUAAGUAACUAUGCACGUCUUGACGGUACCUAAUCAGAAAGCCACGGCUAACUACGUG
RNAcentral lists this ribosomal RNA (496 nucleotides) under uncultured bacterium. RNAcentral's name for it is "partial 16S ribosomal RNA". It matches the Rfam family "Bacterial small subunit ribosomal RNA", at positions 29 to 507 of the family's 1533-position model. The record is from RNAcentral.